Molecule: long non-coding RNA, 707 nt
Organism: Eurytemora carolleeae
Lineage: Eukaryota; Metazoa; Arthropoda; Copepoda; Calanoida; Temoridae
Exons: 5
Source: RefSeq, a predicted model, not a curated record
UUAUGGAGAGCGUUGAGAGAAGGAAGCCUUACAAUCCUAUCCAGAGAAAUACCACUCGGUCGAGUUGGACCGAAGGUUUGGUUGCAUGUGGCAUGUUAUUGCUGGAGAAGAUUUUGGAUUUGAUUUAACUUACGAGAUGGGAUUCCUUAUCCAUAUCUUCUAUGGCUCUCUCGGUAUCCUAGCAUGGAAGUGCGGUUCUCAACUCCUGGUUGAAUCCAAGUAUAUGAGCAUCAAAGCUGAGGAUCAAGCUGAGAAGAACAAGAGAAAGAUGUCAAAAGUACAAAAAAUAAUAACUUAAAUGUGAGCCGGAGAGUUAUCAAUGGAGUACUUUGAAGCCUCCUUUUUCUCUUGAGACCCCUACUACAAUCUCAUCGCCCCUACCCCCCGCCCCUGAAAAAACCCUCAGUUUUUUUUUACCGUAGACUGCCCUAUUUCAUCAGAAAUCCCUUAGAUUUUUUGUACAAUCCCCCUAUUUUAUUAGAGACGCCCAGAUUUUCAAAGGAAACCCAUGAGGAUUUCAUAGGGUUUUAACUCUUUAGAAAAUAUGGGGGUCUUUAAUGAACACAAUUUAGGGGUCUCACAACAAAUCUUAGGGUCUUCGAUGAAACUUAGAUCAACAGCUGGGGGGUCUCUUUUAAAAAUUGAUCUCCAAUAGUGGUUACUGAUAAAUGUAAAAAAUUAAUUUAAAUUAUGUUUUAUUCUUUGAA